This is a long non-coding RNA of Raphanus sativus (radish), 552 nucleotides long. RefSeq lists it as uncharacterized. The record is from RefSeq and is a predicted model, not a curated record. Lineage: Eukaryota; Viridiplantae; Streptophyta; Magnoliopsida; Brassicales; Brassicaceae. The transcript has 3 exons.
UCGACUUCUUUUCAUCGACUACAGAAAAGAGACGAAGAAAAAGUGAGUUUUAGAUUUUAGGGUUUUCAGUACGAUAUGGCUAACCUUGAGAAGGAAAAAGACGAGGAAAAAACUGGAAGAGCCACAAGAGGAGGCAGAGAUAUACGUCUGGCAGAGACAUACGGACGUGGGUGUUCUCAGUACUAGGCGCAUUGGUCUCUAUCCUGGUGGGAAUAAAACGCAAGUCUGUAGGUCCACUCUGUUGGAAAGGUCUCAAGUGAGUACAAGAGUGAGUGUGUGAACAAAAAACAGAGAGAACAAAACAGAGUACAAGAGAGUGAAGGCCAACCCAAGAAGAGAGCAAAAUCACAACACACUCGUGUUCUUUGGCUCAACUGGAACCAUGCUCGACAUCAUCAUUAGCGUCUCUCAGUGCAAGAGAGAACACACGGAACACCAAAAUAAGUUGCUCCUAAAAUCUUUUUUAUAGAGUUUCUAUUCCAGUAAAGAAUGACUUUGUUGUUACAUUUGUUAUGAUCAAAACUUGUUCUAAGGUUUAGCAUCCGAUGGAAA